This 329-nucleotide transfer-messenger RNA is filed under the name Actinomycetota bacterium. Its description in RNAcentral is "partial transfer-messenger RNA". It matches the Rfam family "transfer-messenger RNA", at positions 1 to 312 of the family's 374-position model. From Rfam's summary of the family: Bacterial tmRNA, also known as 10Sa RNA or SsrA, is named for its dual tRNA and mRNA-like properties. Lineage: Bacteria; Bacillati; Actinomycetota. The record is from RNAcentral.
GGGGGUGAACGGUUUCGACUCUGGACGUUGAGUCAGUGGGAAGCGUGCCGGUGCAGGCGAGAGACCACCGUAAGCGUCAUCGCACACCAAUAAGCGCCGACACCAGUCAGCGCGAUCUCGCCCUCGCCGCCUGAGCGAGGAGCUAGAUCUGUCGGACCGGGGAUGUCCCCGCCCCGGAGUCCGGCAUCAGCUAGGGGACUUACCGCCAGGCCCGGUCGCGGGGCCUGUGCGGGACACCUACAGCGACUGGGAUCGUCACACCGGCUGGUCCGCGUGACCGGUGGAUCCGAGCAGAGGCGUAGCGGACUGCGCACGGAGAAGCCCUGAUG